This 2702-nucleotide long non-coding RNA is filed under the name Olea europaea subsp. europaea. Lineage: Eukaryota; Viridiplantae; Streptophyta; Magnoliopsida; Lamiales; Oleaceae. The record is from RNAcentral.
AUUUCUAACGAACAAUACAAGAUAAUUGGAUCACCUCACAUUUUUCUAUCUAUAAAUAUCCCAGUCUUUGCCCCCGUUUUCUUCGUUUUAUUAACUAAACUAGAAGUCUAGCCAGAGAAAGUGCGUGUGUGUGAGAGAGCUGGCGUUUGGUGGGUCUCGAUUUUCCGAGAUGCUGUAAGUUCUUUUCCUUUCUUGGUUCUCUCGUUCCUUAUACAGGUUUGCUUUUUUUUUUUUUUUUUUUUUUUUUUUUUUUCCAUUUAAUUUAUAAUUGAUUAUUGAUGUGUGCGUUGUUUCUCCAACAUGUUUUGAUGGUUGAAUAGUUUAAUUAAAAGGAAGCAAAGCCGGUCAAGUGGCGAGGCAAUUGAGGCUUCUGCCUCAUGCCCUAAACCGGAGGGGGCCUCAUUUGGCCCAAAUAUAUAUAUAUAUAUAUAUUUUUUUUUUUUUCGAUGAAGUAAAACUGUAAAAGGAAAAUCAUUUUUUCCCCUCGAGUGGGUUCCUUCCACGAGUUAAUUGUUCCAAUGAUCACUGAACUUAGAUCUAUGUCUUUUAUUGGUCACUGAAAUUUAAAAUGUCGAAUUUUGGUCACUGAAUUUAGGUCAAUGUUUUUGAUUGCUGACUGAACUUAGGCCAUAUCUUAAAUUAUUCACUGAAAUUUAAAAUAUCGAGUUUUGGCCACUGAAUUUUGGAAUAGUCGUAGGUUACUCACUAACAUAACCAUUGAAUUUUGAAAAAUAUCGAAUUUACAGCGAGUAAUGUACUGUAUUUUUCAAAUUUCAAUGAGUAAUGUACAAUAUUUUUUAAAGUUCAGUGAUCAAAAUUCGACAUUUUAAACUUUAAUGAGUCAUUGAAGACAUGGAUAUAAAUUCACUAAUCAAAAUUCGACAUUUAACCAAUCAAACAAAUUGACCAUUUAACUCUCCUUCGUCUUCUCUUCUUCUUUCUUGUCCUCAACUGGUGUUGGAGUGGCUUCAUCAGACAUUCAAACUUCUCACUGUUAUCCGCCACAGCCUCCUUCACAGGCGGCGGCUCCUCAUCUACAUACCACAAUUUAACUCGCUUCCCUAUCAUUUGUCACAUAAACUUGUUAUUUUGAAGGUAUAUUUUUCCUUUUGGGUUUUCAAUUUUACCUUUUUCUUUAAUUUGGAUUUUUUUUCGCAUCAUAUGUCGUUCAAUAAUUUUUGAGAAUUAGGGUUUGAUUAAUUUAAAAUGGGAGGUUUUUAUCAAUUUAUGUUACUUGAUCGUGUUUUCUGAUUUGGCUGCGUAAUUAUAUUAAAAAACAAACCAUGUGCUGCGUAAUUUUAUCAAUUUAGACAAAUUUGACGAUCCCUCAACAGCUUGCAUUUCCAGGUUUGAGAAUUCUUUAUGCACAACACCCAUAUUAUUAUAUUUGUUGCUUUAAGCCAUCAAUCCGUGCAAUCUAAUUUUCUUAGAAUUAUAGCUCUUCAGGAUUAAUAAUGUAUUAACUUUAGAAAUCAGCUUUCAUAUUGGCUAAUGAGUAGCUUGUUAGAUUGCACACAAUUUUCUCAUCUUGGUCUUUGAUUGAUGAUAGAAAAAUGUUGUACUUUGAGACAUUACUUAAAUCUAAAAUGUGAAGGGCAUGGAAGUUAUUUAUAUUGAUUUUGUUAGAAACUUGUGACAUGCCUAAAUUAAGACCUUUCGUGUUGUCCAUCCACAAUCAUAGAUUCAUGGUGAUAGAAUGGAAACUCAUUCUGAGCAUCAUCCAUGUACCUUGUCUUUAUGCAAUUUGCAAUAGGACUUUGAAUUUAUAAUGAAUAGAUUAAUGCAAUAGAAUUGUAUAUUUGUAUUGGUGUUUGAUGUUAAGCCCCCGUUUGGUACCUAUUUUUUUCAAAAUGCAUUUUUCUCUUUCUUUUUUUAACCACAUUUUUUAUUAAAAUAAUAUUACACGUAAAUAAAAAACUUUUCCUUAUUUUUCAACCAUAUACUUCCAAUCAAAUUACUAUUCUAAAAUGCAUUUUUACCUAAAAAUGGCAAUCAAACAUCCCCUAAAUUUAUAUUCUAGUCUUAUGAGUUGUGACGAUGGAAUUCUCAAGAGCGUGAUUCCAUAAUUUUUGUCGAAAUUCUAUUUCUCAGGUAAGCAAUAGCUUGCCCUAACUUGUUAAUGAAUAUAUUAGAAAUGUUUGAAGCCUUGUUAUCUUAUAUAAUUGUGGCCUGGUCAGCUUAUAUAAUUGAAAUAUUUCUGGUUUUGUUAUUUUAUAAUAUAAAUCAUUUGUAUAAUAUAUUUGUUUGUUAUUUUAAUGUUAUGUUUUAAGUCAGUAAUAGAUUGUGUAAUACACCGUUGAAUUUUGAUUUAGGGGCCUAAUUUAUGGAAUUCGCCUCGGCCCUCGAUAAUCAUAGGACCGGCCUUGAAAGGAAGAAGAAUUAUAUUUUUCAUUUUUUUGGUUUUUUUUUUUUUUUUUAAAUUUAAAUAUGAAGGCUGGACUGUUAGGGUUUGAUUUAUUUAAGUACUUUAUUGAUGGAAUUUUAGUAGAUAAGCUAAGCAAUAGUAUUUACAUAAUAGAUUAAUUUAAUCUAUGAUAAAGCUAUGAUUUAAAGAUCUCAGCUUCAACAAAAUCUGCAGAUCCUUUUUUAGUCUUCGCGUUGACAGUGUUGAUGGUGGUUUAUUUUCAUGUAACCCAAAAAAAUAUUAAAGAAAACAAGGAGAUUGAUCCAUUACUGACUAUGGACUGCCUUGGAUGAAGUGG